CACGCCAAAUAUAGUAGAUUGUGAUUUGCAAUACUUGACUAUUUAAUAAACUUUGUAGUGUUUUUUUUUAUAACAACUAUUAUAUUAUAUAAACUAAAAAAAGAAGUACAAAAUACAUAGAGUUAUAUAAGACAAUAAACACAACUAAAAUAAAAGACAGUAAAACAAAUACAAAAAAAUAUAAAAACUUUUCUUGAGAGGUCUUCCUAAUCAAUAGAGGACCAACACUCUUAAUCUUCUUGCGAUCUUCGAGUUUAUGUCGCAUUAUAGACUCCAACUUCUUAUUUUGUUGUAUAACAUUGGCCAGAUCCCAAAUUAGAUCUAUAGAUUUUUUUUUUGAAUUAUAAUCUAUUGAUUCAUUCGAAAUAAAUAAAAAUGAGCUAAUUUUCAACGAUUAUACGAAUAUCGUCAUAGAAUAAAAAGAAUAAAUCUCCAACUCUGAACCUUUGAAUUAUAUGUGCCUAGAUCCCAAAUUCACCGAUCAAUGUACAACAAAUAUCAUAUGAAUGUAGACUCAACCCCUUUUAUGAACCAUGAUUGUAUACUUUGAACAUCACGCAAAAUCAACAUAUUCUUCACAGAGAUGAUGAGUUCGUUGUGGUUCACAAGGAUAAACAUCCAUGCUAACACACCAUAACUAAUAAAAAGAGACCGAACAUCACCGCAUGGCAUAAUCAAUAAGACCAUCUUUAACGGGAGCGCUUAAUGCUGGUGCUUAGCCUAAUAAAGAUUUAAAAAAAAAGAAAAAUAGAAUUAAUGAGAGGAAACGGUGCUUAAUGAAGCGUUAGAAGCACCGCUGCUUGUGGGACACGUGUUGUGUCUUGGAGACACCUUUCUCUCUCUCUUGACAAAAUCACUGGGCCUCUCUCUCUUCUUCUCUUCCGACGAAACCUUCAUCAAGACGAAGAUCAAAGCAACAAAGCAAUAAAUCGAUUCGAUUCAUCUCCGCAAAAGAAACAGAUUUCUGAGUUCUCAUCUCCAAUAGUGCUAACAACGAUGAGGAGGUUCCUCUCCAAACUCACUCCCAGUCAAAUGGGUUUCACGAAUUCGAACUCUUUCUUGGUAAAGCUCAGUACCAAGAAACAUCACUACUACAAUCAAUGCAGCUCAAGUUGAUCAGACAAACCUGAAAGCUCAGUAAGAUUUUGGGUGUUUUGUUUUGUUGUGGAUUGUUGUAGGAUCAGCAAGAAAAGAUUAAACUUGUUCCUUUGGAUCUUGGGAAUUACCAUGUUAUUUUCAGGUUUCGUCUUCCCAUUGCAUACCAUGGAAGGGCAUCAUCUGUUGUUCUCUGGGACUGACAUUAUUCGACCAAGGUUAGGUUAGUUUCUUUCUUUGGUUUGUUUUGAGUUUGGAUAAUCCUUCCAUUCUAAUAGAAUAAGGUCCAAGAGGUUAGAUUAUUUAGUCGUUUGAUGAUGCAGACAUUGAAUGUCUGUUUUGGUGUUUUGAAGCAUGCAUGUGAAUAGAAAGUCCUGAGGUUAUUCGAUAACAUUCAUAUGA
Brassica rapa (field mustard) is the source of this 1497-nucleotide long non-coding RNA. RefSeq lists it as uncharacterized. Lineage: Eukaryota; Viridiplantae; Streptophyta; Magnoliopsida; Brassicales; Brassicaceae. The record is from RefSeq and is a predicted model, not a curated record.